Caenorhabditis elegans is the source of this 21-nucleotide non-coding RNA. NCBI's taxonomy places the organism in Eukaryota, Metazoa, Nematoda, Chromadorea, Rhabditida, Rhabditidae. The record is from Ensembl.
UUUUCUCAUCAUUGGAAAGGU